Molecule: transfer RNA, 73 nt
Filed under: Planctomycetales bacterium 71-10
Lineage: Bacteria; Pseudomonadati; Planctomycetota; Planctomycetia; Planctomycetales
Description: tRNA-OTHER
Rfam family: tRNA
About the family: Transfer RNA (tRNA) molecules are approximately 80 nucleotides in length. Their secondary structure includes four short double-helical elements and three loops (D, anti-codon, and T loops).
Source: RNAcentral
GCGAGGUUGGCCGAGCGGCUAGGCGGCCGGAGUUGAAACCGUGCCCACGCGGGUUCGAAUCCCGCACCUCGCA